Molecule: ribosomal RNA, 482 nt
Filed under: uncultured bacterium
Lineage: Bacteria
Description: partial 16S ribosomal RNA
Rfam family: Bacterial small subunit ribosomal RNA
Source: RNAcentral
GACGAACGCUGGCGGCGUGCCUAACACAUGCAAGUCGAACGGAACUGUUUUGAAAGAUUUCUUCGGAAUGAAUUUGAUUUAGUUUAGUGGCGGACGGGUGAGUAACGCGUGAGUAACCUGCCUUCAAGAGGGGAAUAACAUUCUGAAAAGAAUGCUAAUACCGCAUGACAUAUCGGAACCACAUGGUUUUGAUAUCAAAGAUUUUAUCGCUUGAAGAUGGACUCGCGUCCGAUUAGUUAGUUGGUGAGGUAACGGCUCACCAAGACCGCGAUCGGUAGCCGGACUGAGAGGUCGAACGGCCACAUUGGGACUGAGACACGGCCCAGACUCCUACGGGAGGCAGCAGUGGGGGAUAUUGCGCAAUGGGGGCAACCCUGACGCAGCAACGCCGCGUGAAGGAUGAAGGUUUUCGGAUUGUAAACUUCUUUUAUUAAGGACGAAAAAUGACGGUACUUAAUGAAUAAGCUCCGGCUAACUACGUG